UCCUUUGCUCCUAAAUUCUGCUAAACUUAUAUUAUUUUUAGUCAACAAAUCUUGUGCAAGUUAAAUAGUCUUUUCUUAUUUGUAUGCCAGUUAGGUAUUUUUGGUUUAUCUCUUUAUCAACUACCCCUUUUGAUUAGUCUCCUUCUAAUUCUUAAGAUUAUUAACUUGACUUUGCUAUUUCUUGAUUCAGGGUUUGAAGCUAGAACUCUGCACCACUGACAGAGUGGGACUACUAUCUAAUGUCACACGCAUCUUCAGAGAGAACAGCUUAACAGUUACAAGAGCAGAAGUAACCACCAAAGGAGACAAAGCUGUGAACACCUUCUAUGUUAGUGGUGCUUCUGGUUACCUUGUGGAUUCCAAGACCAUAGAAUCUAUUCGGCAAGCAAUUGGAAACACUAUACUUAAAGUAAAGGGUACCCCUGAUGAGUUGAAAUCUACCCACCAGGAUUCUCCUACCAGAUCUCUCUUUAGUGGCCUUUUCAAGUCCAGAUCUUUUGUGAACUUUGGCUUGGUUAAGUCUUAUUCUUGAACCUGGAGAAAGCAAUUAUAUGUGAGUGAUAAUGAGAUCUCCUAUCUUGUACAGUGAAAAUGCUCAAGAUGCAAAAAAGCUUACUAGGUGAAGUGUGACUUUAGUUUAGGGUGUAGAAAUACCAAGCAUAUCUUAGGCUUAAACUUAGGAUUAGUGUUUGGUUUGUAAAUUCUUAACCCCUCCCCUGCUUUAGCUUAGUUUGUGAUGGAUCAAAUCCAAUCGCUAGUUGGAGUCAUGAAAGCAAAGAGAACCUCAAUUGUGUAAACCUUGAAACAUACUUUCAAAGAUCAUCAUUUGAACAUAAUUUAAUUUAAUUUCCAGCAGCAGUUAUAUUUUGCUUAUCUUCCUUGUCUUUUACUUAUCUUGACAAUUCUGCUUGCUAAUUCUGGCAUUUGGCAUCGUCAACUCAUUCAUGAUUCUGUCGGAACAAUCAUGUUUAGCUCCUUUAAACUUGGACUUCAGUUUAGAGAAAAAUUAGAAUCAACACUUUUGUUUAAUUUGCAUAUCCCCCAUCAUUAGUGAGCAGAAUAUUCAAUUUUCUUAUUUGUUCUAAAUUUGCAUAUCCCCCAUCAAUAUCAAUGAAUUAUUUGUUUAACUAAUAGACUCUCUUGAGCAAUGAGAAAAAUGUAGAUGUUUCCAAUUAAAUCAAAUCGUCUUCCUUAUUGUUAUACCGAACAAAAAUAAAAUUAUUAUAGAUUCAGUCGGUAGUUCUUAAAAAUAAGAUUCAUCCGCUCCCGCUUUAUCAGACAAAUUUAUUUUUUGAGUUCUUAGAUUAAAAAAUUAUAUGUUGUUUCAUAUUUAUCAACUUUUCUAUAUAUAUAUAUAUAUAUAUGAAAAAUUGUGUAAAAAUUUUUAUCCGUUGUGGUAAAUUGCUUAAAUGUUAUGUUUUUUUUAUAGGUAAAAAGAAUUAUAUUGAAAUGAAGUACAAGGGGUACUUAAACCUAAUACAAAUAGAAAGAGAGAGAAAAAGAAAGCUAAUCGUAACAUCAUUUACAAUGACAAUGAUCCAACUACUACUAAAACUACCCCAUCUUAAAGGAAAAAAUACUUUAAAAGAGAUGCCUCAUUAAAACCUUAUUAGAAAACUUAUUCAACCUGAUAGUAUCUUUUUCUUUUUGUUAAUAGUUAGUCUAUUUUGAAGACAAGCCACAAUUUUGUUGGCUUGUCUAAAACUAAACCAUAUUUUAAGUGAACAACAACCCUUCUUUGUGUAUCUAAUUGUUUUAUAUCUCAUUAUUGUACUUUUUCUCUUCAAUUCUGCUAAACCAUAUUUUAGUUAACAGAGAGUAACCCUUUCUUUCUAUAGAUUGUAUUUUAUAUCAUUGGUUAGUGUCCUUUGCUCCUAAAUUCUGCUAAACUUAUAUUAUUUUUAGUCAACAAAUCUUGUGCAAGUUAAAUAGUCUUUUCUUAUUUGUAUGCCAGUUAGGUAUUUUUGGUUUAUCUCUUUAUCAACUACCCCUUUUGAUUAGUCUCCUUCUAAUUCUUAAGAUUAUUAACUUGACUUUGCUAUUUCUUGAUUCAGGGUUUGAAGCUAGAACUCUGCACCACUGACAGAGUGGGACUACUAUCUAAUGUCACACGCAUCUUCAGAGAGAACAGCUUAACAGUUACAAGAGCAGAAGUAACCACCAAAGGAGACAAAGCUGUGAACACCUUCUAUGUUAGUGGUGCUUCUGGUUACCUUGUGGAUUCCAAGACCAUAGAAUCUAUUCGGCAAGCAAUUGGAAACACUAUACUUAAAGUAAAGGGUACCCCUGAUGAGUUGAAAUCUACCCACCAGGAUUCUCCUACCAGAUCUCUCUUUAGUGGCCUUUUCAAGUCCAGAUCUUUUGUGAACUUUGGCUUGGUUAAGUCUUAUUCUUGAACCUGGAGAAAGCAAUUAUAUGUGAGUGAUAAUGAGAUCUCCUAUCUUGUACAGUGAAAAUGCUCAAGAUGCAAAAAAGCUUACUAGGUGAAGUGUGACUUUAGUUUAGGGUGUAGAAAUACCAAGCAUAUCUUAGGCUUAAACUUAGGA
RNAcentral lists this long non-coding RNA (2546 nucleotides) under Lotus japonicus. RNAcentral describes it as "long non-coding RNA (LJAP_LNC001386)". The record is from RNAcentral. Lineage: Eukaryota; Viridiplantae; Streptophyta; Magnoliopsida; Fabales; Fabaceae.